UGCCUACGGGGGGCAGCAGUGGGGAAUAUUGCACAAUGGGGGGAACCCUGAUGCAGCAAUGCCGCGUGAAGGAUGAAGGUUUUCGGAUUGUAAACUUCUUUUGUACGGGAGGAAGAAAGUGACGGUACCGUAAGAAUAAGCCACGGCUAACUACGUGCCAGCAGCCGCGGUAAUACGUAGGUGGCAAGCGUUAUCCGGAUUUACUGGGUGUAAAGGGCGAGUAGGCGGGAUUGAAAGUCAGUUGUGAAAGCUAUGGGCUCAACCGGUAAUGUG
RNAcentral lists this ribosomal RNA (273 nucleotides) under uncultured bacterium. Its description in RNAcentral is "partial 16S ribosomal RNA". It matches the Rfam family "Bacterial small subunit ribosomal RNA", at positions 335 to 623 of the family's 1533-position model. The record is from RNAcentral.